RNAcentral lists this ribosomal RNA (440 nucleotides) under uncultured Alphaproteobacteria bacterium. RNAcentral's name for it is "partial 16S ribosomal RNA". Lineage: Bacteria; Pseudomonadati; Pseudomonadota; Alphaproteobacteria. The record is from RNAcentral.
GACUACCGGGGUAUCUAAGCCUGUUUGCUCCCCACGCUUUCGCGUCUCAGCGUCACCAUAAGUCCAGCAAGUCGCCUUCGCCACUGGUGUUCCUGCGAAUAUCUACGAAUUUCACCUCUACACUCGCAAUUCCACUUGCCUCUACUUAGGUCCAGGUCGCCAGUUUUGAAGGCAGUUCCGAGGUUGAGCCUCGGGAUUUCACCCCCAACUUAACGACCCGCCUACACGCGCUUUACGCCCAGUAAAUCCGAACAACGCUAGCCCCCUUCGUAUUACCGCGGCUGCUGGCACGAAGUUAGCCGGAGCUUCUUCUUUGGGUACCGUCAUUAUCGUCCCCAACGAAAGGAUUUUACAACCCUAGGGCCUUCAUCAUCCACGCGGCAUGGCUGGAUCAGGCUUGCGCCCAUUGUCCAAGAUUCCCCACUGCAGCCCCCCGUAGG